UACGGAGGGGGCGAGCGUUAUUCGGAAUUAUUGGGCGUAAAGGGCGCGUAGGCGGCCCGGUAAGUCAAAGGUGAAAUCCCUCGGCUCAACUGAGGAACUGCCUUUGAAACUGUCGGGCUUGAGGCCGGGAGGGGGUAGCGGAAUUCCCAGUGUAGCGGUGAAAUGCGUAGAUAUUGGGAGGAACACCAGUGGCGAAGGCGGGUCUCUGGGCCGAUACUGACGCUGAGGAGCGAAAGCGUGGGGAGCAAACAGG
This 253-nucleotide ribosomal RNA is filed under the name uncultured bacterium. RNAcentral's name for it is "partial 16S ribosomal RNA". It matches the Rfam family "Bacterial small subunit ribosomal RNA", at positions 524 to 776 of the family's 1533-position model. The record is from RNAcentral.